RNAcentral lists this ribosomal RNA (510 nucleotides) under uncultured microorganism. RNAcentral describes it as "bacterial SSU rRNA". It matches the Rfam family "Bacterial small subunit ribosomal RNA", at positions 9 to 517 of the family's 1533-position model. The record is from RNAcentral.
GAGUUUGAUCGUGGCUCAGGAUGAACGCUGGCGGCGUGCCUAACACAUGCAAGUCGAACGGAGUUCUUAAGGAAUGCGGCUUCGGCCAAAUGACUUUUGAACUUAGUGGCGGACGGGUGAGUAACGCGUGAGCAACCUGCCUUUCAGAGGGGGAUAACAUUUGGAAACAGAUGCUAAUACUGCAUAAGAUUACAGUACCGCAUGAUACAGUGAUCAAAGGAGCAAUCCGCUGGAAGAUGGCUCGCGUCCGAUUAGAUAGUUGGUGAGGUAACGGCUCGCCAAGUCGACGAUCGGUCGCCGGACUGAGAGGUUGAACGGCCACAUUGGGACUGAGACACGGCCCAGACUCCUACGGGAGGCAGCAGUGGGGAAUAUUGCACAAUGGGCGAAAGCCUGAUGCAGCAACGCCGCGUGAGGGAAGACGGUUUCGGAUUGUAAACCUCUGCUUUCGGUGACGAACAAAUGACGGUAACCGAGUAGGAAGCCACGGCUAACUACGUGCCAGCGCCG